GUACUGCCUCCCGAGGUGCUGGGAUUAUAAGCGUGAGCCACAGCACCUGGCCACAGAGUACAUUUUAAAUGUCUUAAUAAAACGUGACAGAAAGUCUAGGUAGAAAGCAGCUAUCUUUGAUGACAGAAUGAUAAAGAAACCCACCUUUCUCCCAACAAUCCAUAAACACCCUGAGGAGAUGUCACCUUCUAUGUAAUAUCACUUGGAUACUGAAAAUUCUCCAUGAACUGGAAGAAUGUAUGCUUCAGUGUGGUAAACAGAAUUUCUAAAAUGACCUCUUCCUCCCUGAGAUAUCCUGACAUAAUACCCUAAAUUUGUAAAUACGAUGAAAUAUUCUUGUGAUUUUGUGUUAUGCUAUAUGGUACAUGUAUUAGGGGGUUUCAGAAAAAGAAACCUAUGGGAGAUAUAUAUGUAUAUAUACACACACCUAUUCUUACACAGAUAGGAAGAGAGAGAGAGACAGAGAGAGAGUCUUUAUUGAUUUCCUUGAAGCAAAUAAGGAGGUUUAGAGAGUCUUUAUUGAUUUCCUUGAAGCAAAUAAGGAGGUUUUUCUAAACCAAAUGGAGUGUUGGAUAAACAAACCACCUAAGGGAAGACAAAAAAUAUUUUGUGUACCUAGGACAACCAUACCUUAAAGGAGAUGUUUUCCCAAUGUAUGCAAUAAAUAUGUUCCGUAUUACAGUAUUCAUACCUAAGUUUAUAUCUCUAAAUGAAAAACAGAAAUAUAUAUAUUUUUUCAGUUGCAGGUGGCUUAAAGAUAUACUUAUUUAAAGGAUUUCAAACUGACCACUCACAGACUAAAUACUGUUUGGCCUAUACAAACUUUUAAAAAUAGGAAAAUGUACAAAAAGCCUGCACAUGAACCCUUUAAUCUAUAAUACAAGUUGAAUUUUUUUUUAAAAAAGACAUAUUGCUUACAGCAAAAUUUACACUAAGAAAUUUGGUGGCGUGGCAUGGGUUAGGAGACUUGUCCUUGCUGUCUGAACAUACUAUUUAAUCUCUCUGUUACUCAGCUUUCUUAUCGGUAAAAUGAGUUGGUUAAACAAGAUCAAGUGGUGCCAGCCCAAAAGCCUUCAAGGAGCAGGCAAGUGACAUGAGAGAGUGAAUAGACCAGGUGCAACACAAAAGUGAGUAAUGGAACUACAACAAUUGGAGCUGCACAAGCUGCUUCAAGGAGGCACCAGCCUGUUAUUGUCAUGGGGAGAAAUGGGCACAGUGUUGCCAGAUCUUUUGACUUUUCAAAAGAAGUUGAUACCUGUUUAUUAUAAAGAAUUUGCUGCUCAAGUAAUUACAGAGGCUGAGAAGUCCCAUGAUCUGCUGCCUGCAAGCUGGAAACACAGGGAGUUGGUGCUGUUGUUCUGAGAACUGGAGGGUCAAUGGCACAAUUUCUAGUCGAGGGCAGAGGAGUGAUGUCUCAGCACAAGCUGUCAGGCAGAGAGAGAAUAAAUUCUCCCUUCCUCCACCUUUUUGUUCUAUUCAGGCUCUCACUGGAUUGGAUGAAGCUCACUCACAUUGGGCAGGGUCACCUGCUUCACCUAGUCCACCAAUUUAAAUUUUGAUAUAAUCUGGAAACACUCUCAAAGAAACACACAGAAAUAAUGUUUAAUCUGGGAACCCUGUUUCCCAGUUCAGUGGAAACCAUCACAAUACAUUUGCUUUUAUAAAUAAUGAGUUAUCCAAGUGGGCCUGAUAUAAUCAUGUGAGUCCUUAACAGCAGAGAGCUUUUUCCAGCUGGAGGCUGAAAGAGAAGUUGGAGGGAUUUGAAGUGUGAGUCCUGAAUAAACCCUGGCUGCUACAAAGAUGGAGGGCCCUAUAGAAAGCAUGAAGGGGAAUAUGCGCAGCCUAUAGGAGCAGAGAGAACCCCUGACUGGCAGCCAGCAGGGAAAUGGGGACCUUAUUCCAACAACCAGUAAUCUAAGGUAACUAAUUUGGCAACAACCUGGGUGAGUUUGGGAGUAAUUUCUUCCCCAGAGUCCCUAGAUGAGACCCCUGCCUGGCCAGCAAGACCCACUUUCUCCCAUGAGACCCUAAGCAGAGAACCAAGUUACAAUGUACUAGGACUCCGACUUACAGACACUGUGAGAUAACAAAUUUGUUAUUUAAGCUUGUAAGUUUAUGGUAAUUUGUUACACAACAACAGACAACUAAUAUUCCCUGCUGUUGUGCUUCUUUGGUGCCUCUGCCCUCCUCCAAACACUGAGGGCAGGCAAAACUGCCAAGUAAUCUAUUAAAGUAUUCUAAUUUAGAAUUGCAAUAUUGCUUUACUUGAAGAGAACGGAGAAGAGUCUAUCACAGAGUUUUCCAUAAUCAGUUACCAGUACCUGAACUCCCUAAAUCAGCAAAUUAUGCCCUAAACUCACUCAAUGACACAAUAGGUUGUUGGGUUGAUGGAUAAAUUCUGAAAAUUUGAUUCAAACUCACACCUUCCUGAGUUAAAUUGUCCAUUUCUUUUCUCUUAGGGUAUCUUCAAAACAGCUUAUUGAGAUAAGCAAGGCAGGAGUUUAUUACCCCAAUAUUAAAGAUGAGGAAAUUGAGGUCCUGAGGGAACCUGGAGGCUCUCCCACAGUCGAUCACUGAGAAUCUGACACAAGCUGCACUCAAAAAUGCUGCUGUGAAAGGUUACGAGUGUCAGUUACAUGCAUUUUACAAUUUGUUAUGGAUGUUUUUGUACAUGUUAAUUUGUUUCAUUAUCAGGUAUUAUUAUUAAGAUAAUUUCUAUUUGGAAGUAAGGAAGCAAUGUUAGAGAGUUUAUAUAAUUUAUCCAAAAUCACAGCAGCUAGUAACUAUGAGAGCUCACCUUAAAAAUCUGUCCAAUGCCUAGCCUUCCCUUUACCUGAAAUAGCAAAAGACCUAUUAGGGUGUUAGAUCAAGCCCCAAAUAAUUUGUAUCCUUCUUGAGUUAAGUUGGCCAGGCGGGCAAAUCAAGACAGCUUAAUUCUGUUUGAUGGUAGGCUUCCUUCCCACUUUACCAUGUCUGAUAUUAAAAGCUUUGCUUAUGAUUUUCACUGUGGCAAAGACCAAGGUAUUCUCACAUCUGUCCUAUGUAUAUGUUUCAAUGGUUGAACAGUCAUGGGCCAAUAUUUGCUCAUAGAAUAUCAAAUCUACAUGUACUUAGUGUGUCAAAAGACAGUUCUUUCAAAAUUUUUAGGGUUAGGGAAGAUAAAAGAAAUGGGGGAAGUCUUGACAGAUGAUAGGAGGGGUGGGGGAGGGAGAGAGUGGGAUGAUGGUUCCAGGAAUAUGGAGAAACUUGGAGAAAUGCCCAGAAUUGGGAGUGGGAGUUAGGGAAUGAGACCCAGAGAAAAUAAGGGAGGUGAUACAGACAGACUCAAAGUGUAAGGAGGCCUUGAAUGUCAGGGCAGGAAGUUUGAAAUUGAUGAUGGAGGGACAGAGGAGACAGAGAGACACGUAGGGAAGUGGGGAGUAGUGUUGUCACGGGAGCCCUGGGGGCCUGUCAUGGGCAUUAGGAGUCUGAGCAGGCUUGCAGGGGAAAGGAGAAUUGGAAAUUCUCCCGUGCCUCACAGAUAUAUAAAUAAAGCACAAUAAGGACUAUAAUGAGGAAAUAAAUGUCAUAAAAAUGUUUGAUAGCAGAUGGAACAUACAAACACAAAAAGAUGCCAAUAGCCUCCAGCCAAGAGAAAUAAGGGAAGGAGCUCGGUCUAGGUGACCCCGAAGCUCUGUUUUAGCUUGCAUAUUCUGUAAUUUCUAUGCUUUGAUUUAUUGAAUUUCACUAGUGUUUGCCAGCUACUGCCUAUGUAGAAAGCACUAUGCUGCACAGUACAGAGUGAGGAGUGAGAGGAAAUGUGAGGUUGAAUAUAAUCUAGUUCCCUGCUUGGAAGAAGAUUUCUGUAUAUUGGGGGAGAAGACCCUGCAAACUGUAUCACAUUCCAGAGUGAGCAAGUGCCCUAAGAGGAUUAUACAUAUAAUGGAAACCUCAACGGGAGGAUGGGUGGACUUCAAGUCAUCUGUGAAGGUGAUGGUUUUAGACACAGGCAAACCCUAUGUCUAGUAGUUCCCUACUAGACAAAGGAAAACCCAUAUCUAAAGGGGUAAGAAAAAUGCUCUGGGUAUAAUAAUUAUGGUAAGCAGAAUUCCAAUCUGAUCCCCAGUGAAUCCCAUCCUUGUAUAAGCCCCUCCUCUUGACUGCAGAUGGAACUCUAGGCUUGCUGUGUUAGAGGUGGUGGAUGUCAUUCCCGUAAUUACGUUAUGUUAUAUGGCAAAGGCGCGGCAAUAUUCACUCCUGUGUUUGUUUCUUUAUAUAAGACUCCAUCUCAGCACAGUGGAGAGAGAUUUCCUGCCACCUUUGAAGAAAUCAGUUGCCAUUUGUGAGAAUUCCACUUGGCAAGGAAGUAUGAGACCCUUUAGGAGUCAAGAGCAUUCCCCAGCUGAAGACAACACAAAAUAAAGACCUCAAUCUUAACAACUCCAAGGAACUACAUGCUGUUAGAUUGGUGCAAAAGUUACUGUGGUUUUGUCAUGAAAAGUAUGGCAAAAACCGCAAUUACUCUUUUUUUUUUUUUUUUUUGAGACAGAGUCUUGCUCUGCC
Molecule: long non-coding RNA, 4542 nt
Filed under: Homo sapiens (human)
Lineage: Eukaryota; Metazoa; Chordata; Mammalia; Primates; Hominidae
Description: HSALNT0300867
Source: RNAcentral